Molecule: unclassified non-coding RNA, 494 nt
Filed under: Hevea brasiliensis (rubber tree)
Lineage: Eukaryota; Viridiplantae; Streptophyta; Magnoliopsida; Malpighiales; Euphorbiaceae
Source: RNAcentral
GUCUUGAUGUGCAGUUCAUUGGAUUGAACUUUCUGGAAUCCUUGGUAUCUGAAUUUUCACCAUCUACUUCAACUGCUAUGGCUCUUCCUAGGGAGUUCCAUGAGCAAUGCCGAGUCUCUUUUGAGUUAGAAUAUCUAAAGUUGUUUUACUGCUGGGCACAAGAUGCUGCUGUUAGUGCCUCCAAUAAAAUAGCUGAAUCAGAGGCUGCCAUUCCUGAAGUUAAAGUUUGUACAGCAGCAUUGCGUCUGAUGCUUCAGGUACUCAACUGGGACUUCAAAUGUGAUGCAAAUGUGCUAGACAAUGCAAAACGAGGCAUCAACAUUUUCUCCGCUGGGUUAAGGGGCGAUGUAAGCUCUCCUAAGAGGACUGAGUGUACCCUAGUGCAGCCUGGAUCCUCCUGGCGGGGUAUACUUGUGUCGAGUGGUCACAUCGGAUGGCUUUUAAGCUUUUAUGAAGCACUGAGGCAGAAGUUUUCGUGUGAAGGAUACUGGAUU